AUCAUGGCUCAGAUUGAACGCUGGCGGCAGGCCUAACACAUGCAAGUCGAACGGUAACAGGAAGCAGCUUGCUGCUUGCUGACGAGUGGCGGACGGGUGAGUAAUGUCUGGGAAACUGCCCGAUGGAGGGGGAUAACUACUGGAAACGGUAGCUAAUACCGCAUAAUGUCGCAAGACCAAAGAGGGGGACCUUCGGGCCUCUUGCCAUCGGAUGUGCCCAGAUGGGAUUAGCUAGUUGGUGAGGUAACGGCUCACCAAGGCGACGAUCCCUAGCUGGUCUGAGAGGAUGACCAGCCACACUGGAACUGAGACACGGUCCAGACUCCUACGGGAGGCAGCAGUGGGGAAUAUUGCACAAUGGGCGCAAGCCUGAUGCAGCCAAUGCCGCGUGUAUGAAGAAGGCCUUCGGGUUGUAAAGUACUUUCAGCGGGGAGGAAGGGGUUAAGGUUAAUAACCUUAGCCAUUGACGUUACCCGCAGAAGAAGCACCGGCUAACUCCGUGCCAGCCGCGGC
RNAcentral lists this ribosomal RNA (513 nucleotides) under uncultured bacterium. Its description in RNAcentral is "bacterial SSU rRNA". It matches the Rfam family "Bacterial small subunit ribosomal RNA", at positions 16 to 518 of the family's 1533-position model. The record is from RNAcentral.